CCAGAACACCAGGGUUGAGCUCUUUCCUUUCUCUCUCUAGGGUUUUUGAGAUUUGAGAAGUGAAAAGUGUGGAUUUGAGUCCAAUUUCUCUUCUCUUUUGUAGCUAGUGGCUUUGGAGGGCUUGGGGGCUGUUAUAUGCAGUUGGAGAGACAAAGUUGGAAGUGUUCUUGCAGCCCAAACUCAGUAAACAACUGAGUUGCAUCUUGGUAAGGUUUGGGGAAAGGUUUCAGCGGUUUUAGGGGAGGUAAUUGCCGUGAUUCUUCAAUCUUUAAACCAGGGGGAAGCUGGAGAAAGCUUGAAGAAGGUAAUUAGUUAAUUAAUUGCUUUAUGUUGAAGCUAUACUAGGUUGUUAGUGAUGAAUUGAUGCAGUUUCGGGAAUAUGUUUUCAGCAGCUAUGAUGGUCACUUUAAGCUGAAUAUAGUGGCCAUUGAGAGCUGGUUUUGGGUGCUCUAACCUAACUGGAAGUGGAGGUUUAGCUCUGGUUUGAACAUAGGGAGUUCGACUGCUUUAAGUUGAGGUUAGCAAUCUUUGAGAGGUUAGAAUUGGUGUAUUCUAACCUGAUUUCAGUGGAGUUCAAGAUUGGAUUUCAUAUUAGGGUGCUUGGCGAUCAGCAAACUUUCGCUAACGUGAUUGCUAAGACUCAUCGACUGAUUGGAGCCAUCCACUACGGGAGAAGCUAGGGAUAGCGGCAAGGGAGUCAUGUCUAGCUAGGCGUAGUUUGGAGUCCUGCUAGGUGAUCACGUCGCUACUUUGAGAUUUGUCGACGAGGGUGACGUUGUACCUGUAUAGAGAGACUACCACUUGUAUAUAGAGUGAUUUAGUGAUUUUGAGUUGUACCUAUGUGGCUAGAGCAUUGUACUUUACAGUUUUAUGCUCCUACUUUUUGUUGUAUGUAGUGGAGUUUUGUACUACUUAUUCUCUAGUUGCUAGUACUUUCUGUACGUUCUAUGCUUUGAUAUUAUGUUAGGUUCUU
Ananas comosus (pineapple) is the source of this 973-nucleotide long non-coding RNA. RefSeq lists it as uncharacterized. The transcript is spliced from 5 exons. NCBI's taxonomy places the organism in Eukaryota, Viridiplantae, Streptophyta, Magnoliopsida, Poales, Bromeliaceae. The record is from RefSeq and is a predicted model, not a curated record.